AGAAGAAAAAGGCAAACUAUUCGAAAGGGUAGGACGCAAAGCCAAGGAUCUAAAAUGCCGGUUACAGGACAUCAUGACCGCCUGGCUGCCAAA
RNAcentral lists this non-coding RNA (93 nucleotides) under Lentibacillus halodurans. RNAcentral's name for it is "GEMM cis-regulatory element". It matches the Rfam family "c-di-GMP-I riboswitch aptamer". From Rfam's summary of the family: GEMM was predicted in a large-scale screen for bacterial structured RNA regulatory elements. Genes associated with GEMM are involved in a diverse array of functions, including chemotaxis regulation, signal transduction, secretion and chitin. Lineage: Bacteria; Bacillati; Bacillota; Bacilli; Caryophanales; Bacillaceae. The record is from RNAcentral.